Molecule: ribosomal RNA, 254 nt
Filed under: uncultured bacterium
Lineage: Bacteria
Description: partial 16S ribosomal RNA
Rfam family: Bacterial small subunit ribosomal RNA
Source: RNAcentral
UACGGGGGGAGCAAGCGUUGUUCGGAUUUACUGGGCGUAAAGGGCGCGUAGGCGGUCAGCACAAGUCAGUUGUGAAAUCUCCGAGCUUAACUCGGAAAGGUCAACUGAUACUGUGCGACUAGAGUGCGGAAGGGGCAACUGGAAUUCUCGGUGUAGCGGUGAAAUGCGUAGAUAUCGUAAGGAAGACCAGUGGCGAAGGCGGGUCUCUGGACAGUUCCUGACGCUGAAGAGCGAAAGCGUGGGGAGCGAACAGG